This 73-nucleotide transfer RNA is filed under the name Butyricicoccus intestinisimiae. RNAcentral's name for it is "tRNA-Thr". It matches the Rfam family "tRNA". From Rfam's summary of the family: Transfer RNA (tRNA) molecules are approximately 80 nucleotides in length. Their secondary structure includes four short double-helical elements and three loops (D, anti-codon, and T loops). The record is from RNAcentral. Lineage: Bacteria; Bacillati; Bacillota; Clostridia; Eubacteriales; Butyricicoccaceae.
GCACCAAUAGCUCAAUUGGCAGAGCAGUUGUCUUGUAAACAACAGGUUAAGAGUUCGAGUCUCUUUUGGUGCU